GCAUAUCAAUAAGCGGAGGAAAAGAAACCAACAGGGAUUGCCCCAGUAACGGCGAGUGAAGCGGCAACAGCUCAAAUUUGAAAUCUGGCUCACGCCCGAGUUGUAAUUUGUAGAGGAUGCUUUUGGUGCGGUGCCUUCUGAGUUCCCUGGAACGGGACGCCGAAGAGGGUGAGAGCCCCGUAUAGUCGGACACCAAGCCUUUGUAAAGCUCCUUCGACGAGUCGAGUAGUUUGGGAAUGCUGCUCAAAAUGGGAGGUAAAUGCCUUCUAAAGCUAAAUACCGGCCAGAGACCGAUAGCGCACAAGUAGAGUGAUCGAAAGAUGAAAAGCACUUUGAAAAGAGGGUUAAAUAGUACGUGAAAUUGUUGAAAGGGAAGCGCUCAUGACCAGACUUGCGCCUAGUGAAUCAUCCAGCGUUCUCGCUGGUGCACUUCGCUAGGCUCAGGCCAGCAUCGAUCUUCCUAGGGGGAUAAAAGCGGCGGGAACGUAGCUCCUCCGGGAGUGUUAUAGCCCGCUGCAGAAUACCCCUGGGGGGAUCGAGGACCGCGCUUCGGCAAGGAUGCUGGCGUAAUGGUCAUCAGCGACCCGUCUUGAAACACGGACCAAGGAGUCAAGCAUUAGGGCGAGUGUUUGGGUGUCAAACCCGCACGCGAAAUGAAAGUGAACGUAGGUGAGAGCUUCGGCGCAUCAUCGACCGAUCCUGAUGUAUUCGGAUGGAUUUGAGUAAGAGCCUUACCGCUUGGACCCGAAAGAUGGUGAACUAUGCUUGGAUAGGGUGAAGCCAGAGGAAACUCUGGUGGAGGCUCGCAGCGGUUCUGACGUGCAAAUCGAUCGUCAAAUCUGAGCAUGGGGGCGAAAGACUAAUCGAACCAUCUAGUAGCUGGUUA
Molecule: ribosomal RNA, 886 nt
Filed under: Pleurophragmium asiaticum
Lineage: Eukaryota; Fungi; Ascomycota; Sordariomycetes
Description: Neomyrmecridium asiaticum partial 28S ribosomal RNA
Rfam family: Eukaryotic large subunit ribosomal RNA
Source: RNAcentral